CAGUGGGGAAUAUUGCACAAUGGGCGCAAGCCUGAUGCAGCCAUGCCGCGUGUAAUGAAGAAGGCCUUCGGGUUGUAAAGUACUUUCAGCAGUGAGGAAGUGGGUAUGUUAAUAGCAUACUCAUUUGACGUUAGCUGCAGAAGAAGCACCGGCUAACUCCGUGCCAGCAGCCGCGGUAAUACGGAGGGUGCGAGCGUUAAUCGGAAUUACUGGGCGUAAAGCGCAUGCAGGUGGUUUGUUAAGUCAGAUGUGAAAGCCCGGGGCUCAAACCUCGGAAUUGCAUUUGAAACUGGCAAACUAGAGUACUGUAGAGGGGGUAGAAUUUCAGGUGUAGCGGUGAAAUGCGUAGAGAUCUGAAGGAAUACCGGUGGCGAAGGCGGCCCCCUGGACAGAUACUGACACUCAGAUGCGAAAAGCGUGGGGAGCAAACAGGAUUAGAUACCCUGGUAG
RNAcentral lists this ribosomal RNA (450 nucleotides) under uncultured bacterium. RNAcentral's name for it is "bacterial SSU rRNA". It matches the Rfam family "Bacterial small subunit ribosomal RNA", at positions 352 to 793 of the family's 1533-position model. The record is from RNAcentral.